UGGCAAACUGGGGUCCUGAGAAUAGAG
RNAcentral lists this non-coding RNA (27 nucleotides) under Mus musculus (house mouse). The record is from RNAcentral. Lineage: Eukaryota; Metazoa; Chordata; Mammalia; Rodentia; Muridae.